UUUUCACAUGACGUCAGACAACAUCCGUUUUGACUCGAUCCAGUGUAUCUUUAGUUCCGGUGUGUGUAGUUAACGCUGUUUCUGGACUCUAAAGCAGCUGCCACAAAUACGAUUUGAAGAUAUAUCACUAUUUGCAAACAAUUUUUCUUCAUCAACAUAAUCUAAACUGGACAAAUUCCUCGCUGAUUGAUACCAGUUUGACUACGAAGGUUACACUUGAUUCUGCUGUGGUGCCUGUGGAAACAAAGUACAUGAAGUUUGUACUGAGGUGGGAAAACCCUGUGGAUCACAUGGUGGGACUUCUGCUUCAAACUGCUCAUUACAGUUUAUCAUUACCUCUGUCAUCCACCAGUUCACUGCAGACUGGCAGCCGCCAAGGACCCAACAUGGAUGUCUUCUUAAGUUGUAAACCCUGAGUACAUAAUGUUGAAGUAAAAUUGAUAUGCC
Long non-coding RNA from Poecilia latipinna (sailfin molly), 447 nucleotides. RefSeq lists it as uncharacterized. The record is from RefSeq and is a predicted model, not a curated record. NCBI's taxonomy places the organism in Eukaryota, Metazoa, Chordata, Actinopteri, Cyprinodontiformes, Poeciliidae. The transcript is spliced from 2 exons.